Molecule: ribosomal RNA, 433 nt
Filed under: uncultured bacterium
Lineage: Bacteria
Description: partial 16S ribosomal RNA
Rfam family: Bacterial small subunit ribosomal RNA
Source: RNAcentral
CCCUCCCCCUUUCUUCAUGCCUAACACAUGCAAGUCGAACGAGACCUUCGGGUCUAGUGGCGCACGGGUGCGUAACGCGUGGGAACCUGCCCUUAGGUUCGGAAUAACUCCCCGAAAGGGGUGCUAAUACCGGAUAAUGUCUUCGGACCAAAGAUUUAUCGCCUUUGGAUGGGCCCGCGUUGGAUUAGCUAGUUGGUAGGGUAAAAGCCUACCAAGGCGACGAUCCAUAGCUGGUCUGAGAGGAUGAUCAGCCACACUGGGACUGAGACACGGCCCAGACUCCUACGGGAGGCAGCAGUGGGGAAUAUUGGACAAUGGGCGAAAGCCUGAUCCAGCAAUGCCGCGUGAGUGAUGAAGGCCUUAGGGUUGUAAAGCUCUUUUACCCGGGAUGAUAAUGACAGUACCGGGAGAAUAAGCGCCGGCUAACUCCGUG